GACAGAGGUGCCAAGCGUUAGGCGGAAUCACUGGGCUUAAAGCGUGUGUAGGCGGGCGAUCAAGUACCUUGUGAAAUCCCACGGCUCAACCGUGGAACUGCUGGGUAUACUGGUUGUCUUGAGCCAGCUAGGGGCGAGCGGAACAGACGGUGGAGCGGUGAAAUGCGUAGAUAUCGGAAAGAACAUCAGUGGCGAAGGCGACUUCCUGGAUUGAUACUGACACUGAGGCGCGAAAGCGUGGGGAGCAAACAGG
RNAcentral lists this ribosomal RNA (253 nucleotides) under uncultured bacterium. RNAcentral's name for it is "partial 16S ribosomal RNA". It matches the Rfam family "Bacterial small subunit ribosomal RNA", at positions 524 to 776 of the family's 1533-position model. The record is from RNAcentral.